Non-coding RNA from Drosophila virilis, 1096 nucleotides. NCBI's taxonomy places the organism in Eukaryota, Metazoa, Arthropoda, Insecta, Diptera, Drosophilidae. The record is from RefSeq and is a predicted model, not a curated record.
AAAAAAAAACAAAAACAAAACAAGAGCCAAAUAUUUAUAUUUAAGAUUAUGUUUAGACAGAGCAAUAAUGUACGUAUGUAGUUUAAAGUACAGCAAACUACGGACACCGCGAUUCAAUUGAUCAGCUUUUACGAAAUGGUAUAAAUUUGAUUUACCAUAGGCAUAUACACAUAUAGACUAAAUGCAACAAAUAUCAGCAAUUAUGUGCGCUACACAUACACAUACGUAUAAAUAAAUAUAUCAUUUACAUAUACGUAUUAAAACCCUCAAUAACUGCAGUUACAACAACCUGCAACAGCGACCCGAACUCAAAAGGAACAAGUGGAAACUGAAACUUAAUAAACUAUUGCACACACACACACACACACAUAUAUAUAGAUAUAUACUGAUCGACCUACAUAAUCGAUUUCUUUGAUACCAAUUUGUAUCGUUAAUGCAUAUGUAACUGCGUAUGUGAGGAACCACCGCCUAAUAAAUACUGUUACUACAUUACAACAAAAACAAAAAACAUAAACUAAAACUAAAACAAAUACACUAUGGAAUACAUUUAGCUCUAUGUUUCAUUUACAUUUAGUUCAAUGUUAAACAGAACUCUUAGAAUUUGCUGCACAACCGCUGUUACAUUUAACAUAUUAAGCAAAUGUAAUGCGGCUCUGACGUCACAAUUCAACAGCCGCCAUUGCGCAUAGCGAAUCCCAACAAAAAUAAACCUUUAAUUAGCACAUUUUAUUAGUAUCUUGUUUUUUUUUUUUUUUUUUUUUUUUCUUUCAUUUUGUUUAUUUUUGACUUUUGGAUUUCUUAUUUAAUGAUAACAUCAAUUAAUUUAAAUAUAUAGAUGGUUCGAGUUCGAGACCAACAACAGUCGCUUGAACUUUAAUGUAGUGCAUUAUUAUUACUGUAAGGGAUUAAACUUAAAUUUUGUUUGUUUUAAAACUAUUUUAAGUGCUUUAAAAAUUCAGAUCUAAGAAAUUAUAUUUACAUGCAUACUACACUUAUAUCUGGUCACUUGUAAACCAAUAACAAAAAUACGCAAAAUAUGCUAAAACAAAUUACAUUUAAUUCAUUAAAUUUAUACUUUAUACAUUGCAUAUGGAAA